Molecule: long non-coding RNA, 2285 nt
Organism: Ylistrum balloti
Lineage: Eukaryota; Metazoa; Mollusca; Bivalvia; Pectinida; Pectinidae
Exons: 2
Source: RefSeq, a predicted model, not a curated record
UAGAUGCAUUUUAUCUUACCUGCAUGUCCCUUAGCAAAUCUUUGCAUCUUUCCAACACAUCCUCGAACGGACACUGGACGGAUAACCGGAGUAUGUCGACCAGGUAUUCAUCAAUCAUAGUUUUCGUAUCAACUGCACCGUGGAUGUUGGACACCCCUUUCAUGUCCGGAGGGCUACCAUAACCUCCGAUCAAGGCAUCGAACACCCGAAGUAUGGAAUCGAACGCCCUGAUCCUUACUCCGGGGUCUCUGUUUGACAGACAGUGCACAAAUCGCAAAGAAUCCUCAUCUCGGAUUUUCAUGCGAGGAGGAUCUUCGGCCAUAUCAACCACUUUGCGGAAACCAGAAGACAGCUGAAAUUGCAUUGGUGAUGAAAUUCUUCAUGCUGACCUGUGCACUUGUGCUCUGCGACCUUGACAUGCGAAAGGGGGCGUUUCCGACCGAAUUCUGGGCCAAUGAAAUUUGUCGAGACAUCCUACCUUCGCUAGUUCGCCGGGCGAUGCAAAAAAAUAAAAGGGAGGGUACAGCACUGAAGCCAGUAUCAUUUUCAUCUUCUUUCACAUAUUACAAUUAUGGUAGCUGUUACUUAUUCAAGGAGCAGUAUUGAUUAAGUAGUACAUUUAUUUAUAUUGAUGACAAGACAUCCUAACAUUCCAAGAGCAACGUCGAUCGUGUGGUUCUCCAAAUUAAUAGCAUUAAGUGAGAUUUAUUGCAUAUUAAGAAGAUAUUGUCAAUAAGUGUAUAAGAUAUAAGACUCUUUAAUUCCGAAUGUGCACUCGAUGGUGGAACGGAACACACUAUAUAACGAUGUCGAGAAACGCUUUUAAGAGAAAAAAAGCUCCUCAUCCCACGGUACUGGUUCUUCAGAGGUCAUGUAGAACAAGUCCACUCGCAAGGAGUUGAAGAUCAUCAUGAUUUAUCAAAAGACUCGUUGGAACAGCUUGCGACAGUGGUUGAGAAAUUUGACAGUUUGACCAAGUCUUGGCCAUAUAUAAGGCAUCUUAUUUAAAGACUCUUAUUUAAAGCUCGUAUAGUAGUCUAUAUGAGAUAUGUUAUAUAACUGAAAUAAAAUAUGAAACAGCAUUGCUCCUUAGAUAAAUAAAAAAAAAACAUACAUUGUAGAUAAUUCAUGAAAUUAUAUCUGUGGUCAGGAAUUAUCUAUUUUCUUAAGAUAGGAUAUCUUUUAUUUGACAUUAAGCACAGACUUAUGAUGAUACACAUGUAACAUAGAUAUUUUGUAAAUCUAAGAAACUUAUCAGAUAUCUUUAUAGGUAUAAUUAGUAAUUAAAUAUUGGAUCAACAUUGCUCCAUGAAGAAAUUAAAUGUCAGUUCUCGGAAGUUUGCUCACCAUGAUAAUAUAAUAUGCCUAUGUAUCUUUUUCAAAGUUCAUGAAAUUUUCUUGCUUACUACAAAGACCUAUAGUGUCUACAUCUGCUUACCAAAGACAGUUCUAACUAACAUUGAUUUGACAUUUUAAAACUGAUGUCGUAAUCAUCUUUUAUGACAGUCAAACAGGUUGAAAUUAAACUAGUGAAGAAGGAACUUAUAACAUAGGUGUAAGUUCAUGAGUUAAUUAACAACAAUUUUACUUAAGUAUACACUGUAAAUACAAUGUUUAAUUGUGUGUAGAAUUGCUGUAAACAGUUGCCUAUAUGUCUGAUUUAGACAAUGGCAGCUCAUAUCUCCCUUAGGACCACCCAUAUACUUACAGGUAAAUGUCAUGAUGUAUGCUAAUCGUGGCCCCAUACCUGUUUUUGAUAACUAGCUGGUGGCUACAAUAUAUAGCUGGUGGCUACUAUGUAUAUAUAAAUCUAAUACUUGUCAAUUUUCUAACAACAACGAUAGUAUGGACUGAAAUUUCUGCCAAAUAAAAGAUUUUAUAUAAAUAUUUUUAUGUUACAUGGAUUGUGCAUUUGGUAUAACUAUAGCAUAGACAUAUCUGUAUUAUAUGUCACUGAAUUCAGUAACAGAAAUUGAAAAAGGGGGAUGCUCAAUAGCCUGUGUCAUUUUAUCGUGAUCGAAAAAAGAUAGUUAUUGAUGAAUGUGUCUAAAUGAAUUUUUAUGUGCUUCCCAAGUCACAGUAAACACCAACUUUUCUUUUUACCUAAGCUUACAGCCAUUCAGUAAAACAUACUUCAUUGACUCAUGUGUUAAUUCAUUUGAUUCAGUAGUACUGAAUAUCUUGUAUGUGUAACAAGUACUUUUUUACAAAUCUGAUUAUAUUAACCGAAAUAAAAAAAUCAGUGUCAACUUCUCAUUACUUUGAUAUUAAAGAUGAUACCUUCA